UUAUACGAUGAAGAGUUUGAUCCUGGCUCAGGAUGAACGCUAGCGGCAGGCCUAACACAUGCAAGUCGAGGGGUAGAGGGUGCUUGCACCCUUGAGACCGGCGCACGGGUGCGUAACGCGUAUGCAACCUACCUAUUGCAGGGGAAUAGCCCAGGGAAACUUGGAUUAAUGCCCCAUAGUCCAUAUUGAGAGCAUUUGAGAUAUGGUAAAGAUUUAUCGGCAAUAGAUGGGCAUGCGUCCCAUUAGCUAGUUGGUAUGGUAACGGCAUACCAAGGCUACGAUGGGUAGGGGCCCUGAGAGGGGGAUCCCCCACACUGGUACUGAGACACGGACCAGACUCCUACGGGAGGCAGCAGUGAGGAAUAUUGGACAAUGGGCGGGAGC
Molecule: ribosomal RNA, 384 nt
Filed under: Aequorivita sp.
Lineage: Bacteria; Pseudomonadati; Bacteroidota; Flavobacteriia; Flavobacteriales; Flavobacteriaceae
Description: bacterial SSU rRNA
Rfam family: Bacterial small subunit ribosomal RNA
Source: RNAcentral